GCAUGACCGAAGGGGGCAGCCAUAGUGUGUUGUGGUCGGUUCCAGAUGGCCAAGCACUGGUGCUCAGCAUUGUUUUGCUUCGUGGCCAUUGUGAAGUGGCCGCAAUGCAUUGUGGACGAUUCUGCCAAGGCCAGUACAUGUUCUGAACAUUUUGAAAUGACCACAGUUCAUUCUGAAACCGAUCAGGGCGGGUGUUUGCAGCAGUAUGCUACAGAAAGCAUCAGGACUCUUCUACUACAUGUAUACUAUUACAUGUAGUAGUAGUAUAUUAUAUAUAGUAGUAGUAAUAUAUGCAUAUUAUAUGUAACAAGCUAUCCAUGUAAUAGUAACAUGUAUACUACACACAUAUUGCAU
Molecule: long non-coding RNA, 354 nt
Filed under: Androctonus crassicauda
Lineage: Eukaryota; Metazoa; Arthropoda; Arachnida; Scorpiones; Buthidae
Source: RNAcentral